GUGCCAGCCGCCGCGGUAAUACAGAGGGGGCAAGCGUUAUUCGGAAUUACUGGGCGUAAAGCGCGUGUAGGCGGCUAUGCAAGUCGGAUGUGAAAGCCCGGAGCUCAACUCCGGAACUGCCAUUGAAACUGUUAGACUUGAGGAUGAGAGAGGUGAGUGGAAUUCCCAGUGUAGAGGUGAAAUUCGUAGAUAUUGGGAAGAACACCGGUGGCGAAGGCGACUCACUGGCUCAUUACUGACGCUCAGGCGCGAUAGCGUGGGGAUCAAACAGGAUUAGAAACCCCCGUAGUCC
RNAcentral lists this ribosomal RNA (292 nucleotides) under uncultured bacterium. Its description in RNAcentral is "partial 16S ribosomal RNA". It matches the Rfam family "Bacterial small subunit ribosomal RNA", at positions 505 to 796 of the family's 1533-position model. The record is from RNAcentral.